GAAUAUUGCACAAUGGGGGCAACCCUGAUGCAGCAACGCCGCGUGGAGGACGAAGGCCCUUGGGUUGUAAACUCCUUUUCUGCGGGAAGAGGAAGGACGGUACCGCAGGAAUAAGUCACGGCUAAAUACGUUCCAGCAGCCGCGGUAAUACGUAGGUGGCAAGCGUUAUCCGGAAUUACUGGGCGUAAAGCGCACGCAGGCGGCUAGGUAAGUCUGACGUGAAAGCUCCUGGCUUAACUGGGAGAGGUCGUUGGAAACUGUCUAGCUUGAGGCAAUGAGAGGGGUGCGGAAUUCCCGGUGUAGUGGUGGAAUGCGUAGAUAUCGGGGGGAACACAAGUGGCGAAAGCGGCACCCUGGCAUUGACCUGACGCUCAGGUGCGAAAGCGUGGGGAGCGAACGGG
RNAcentral lists this ribosomal RNA (401 nucleotides) under uncultured bacterium. RNAcentral's name for it is "bacterial SSU rRNA". It matches the Rfam family "Bacterial small subunit ribosomal RNA", at positions 359 to 776 of the family's 1533-position model. The record is from RNAcentral.